GUUUCUAUUAUUGGAAACUUUGAAAGUUUUUGUUGGGUUUCCCCUAGAAACU
Molecule: transfer RNA, 52 nt
Filed under: Tyrophagus longior
Lineage: Eukaryota; Metazoa; Arthropoda; Arachnida; Sarcoptiformes; Acaridae
Description: tRNA-Ser
Source: RNAcentral